UACGUAGGGGGCAAGCGUUGUCCGGAAUCAUUGGGCGUAAAGGGUGCGUAGGCGGCGCGGUAAGUCGGGCGUGAAAUCUCGGAGCUUAACUCCGAAACUGCAUUCGAUACUGCCGUGCUGGAGGACUGGAGAGGAGACUGGAAUUUACGGUGUAGCGGUGAAAUGCGUAGAUAUCGUAAGGAAGACCAGUGGCGAAGGCGGGUCUCUGGACAGUUCCUGACGCUGAGGCACGAAGGCCAGGGGAGCAAACGGG
This 253-nucleotide ribosomal RNA is filed under the name uncultured bacterium. RNAcentral describes it as "partial 16S ribosomal RNA". It matches the Rfam family "Bacterial small subunit ribosomal RNA", at positions 524 to 776 of the family's 1533-position model. The record is from RNAcentral.